This 468-nucleotide ribosomal RNA is filed under the name uncultured bacterium. Its description in RNAcentral is "partial 16S ribosomal RNA". It matches the Rfam family "Bacterial small subunit ribosomal RNA", at positions 28 to 507 of the family's 1533-position model. The record is from RNAcentral.
GACGAACGCUGGCGGCGUGCUUAUCACAUGCAAGUCGAACGGAAAGGCCCUGCUUUUGUGGGGUGCUCGAGUGGCGAACGGGUGAGUAACACGUUAGUAACCUGCCCUUGACUUUGGGAUAACUUCAGGAAACUGGGGCUAAUACCGGAUAGGAGCUCCUGCUGCAUGGUGGGGGUUGGAAAGUUUCGGCGGUUGGGGAUGGACUCGCGGCUUAUCAGCUUGUUGGUGGGGUAGUUGCUUACCAAGGCUUUGACGGGUAGCCGGCCUGAGAGGGUGAACGGCCACAUUGGGACUGAGAUACGGCCCAGACUCCUACGGGAGGCAGCAGUGGGGAAUAUUGCACAAUGGGCGGAAGCCUGAUGCAGCAACGCCGCGUGCGGGAUGACGGCCUUCGGGUUGUAAACCGCUUUCGCCUGUGACGAAGCGUGAGUGACGGUAAUGGGUAAAGAAGCACCGGCUAACUACGUG